This 490-nucleotide ribosomal RNA is filed under the name uncultured bacterium. RNAcentral's name for it is "partial 16S ribosomal RNA". It matches the Rfam family "Bacterial small subunit ribosomal RNA", at positions 30 to 507 of the family's 1533-position model. The record is from RNAcentral.
AUUGAACGCUGGCGGCAGGCCUAACACAUGCAAGUCGAACGGUAACAGGAAACAGCUUGCUGUUUCGCUGACGAGUGGCGGACGGGUGAGUAAUGUCUGGGAAACUGCCUGAUGGAGGGGGAUAACUACUGGAAACGGUAGCUAAUACCGCAUAACGUCGCAAGACCAAAGAGGGGGACCCUCGGGCCUCUUGCCAUCGGAUGUGCCCAGAUGGGAUUAGCUUGUUGGUGGGGUAACAGCUCACCAAGGCGACGAUCCCUAGCUGGUCUGAGAGGAUGACCAGCCACACUGGAACUGAGACACGGUCCAGACUCCUACGGGAGGCAGCAGUGGGGAAUAUUGCACAAUGGGCGCAAGCCUGAUGCAGCCAUGCCGCGUGUAUGAAGAAGGCCUUCGGGUUGUAAAGUACUUUCAGCGGGGAGGAAGGGAGUAAAGUUAAUACCUUUGCUCAUUGACGUUACCCGCAGAAGAAGCACCGGCUAACUCCGUG